RNAcentral lists this transfer RNA (72 nucleotides) under Odontobutis obscura. Its description in RNAcentral is "tRNA-Ser". It matches the Rfam family "tRNA". From Rfam's summary of the family: Transfer RNA (tRNA) molecules are approximately 80 nucleotides in length. Their secondary structure includes four short double-helical elements and three loops (D, anti-codon, and T loops). Further hydrogen bonds mediate the characteristic L-shaped molecular structure. tRNAs have two regions of fundamental functional importance: the anti-codon, which is responsible for specific mRNA codon recognition, and the 3' end, to which the tRNAs corresponding amino acid is attached (by aminoacyl-tRNA synthetases). tRNAs cope with the degeneracy of the genetic code in two manners: having more than one tRNA (with a specific anti-codon) for a particular amino acid; and 'wobble' base-pairing, i.e. permitting non-standard base-pairing at the 3rd anti-codon position. RNAcentral also lists the same sequence under 1 other name. Lineage: Eukaryota; Metazoa; Chordata; Actinopteri; Gobiiformes; Odontobutidae. The record is from RNAcentral.
AAGGAAGUGACAGAGCGGCUAUGUGUUCUGGCUUGAAACCAGUUUAUGGGGGUUCAAGUCCUCCCUUUCUCG